This 249-nucleotide ribosomal RNA is filed under the name uncultured bacterium. RNAcentral describes it as "partial 16S ribosomal RNA". It matches the Rfam family "Bacterial small subunit ribosomal RNA", at positions 15 to 235 of the family's 1533-position model. The record is from RNAcentral.
GAUCAUGGCUCAGGACGAACGCUGGCGGCGUGCUUAACACAUGCAAGUCGAACGGAAAGAGAUGAAAGAGCUUGCUAUUUUAUUAAUUUCAGUGGCAAACGGGUGAGUAACACGUAAACAACCUGCCUUAAGGAUGGGGAUAACAGACGGAAACGACUGCUAAUACCGAAUACGUUCUAAGCAUCGCAUGGUGCAUAGAAGAAAGGGUGGCCCUCUACAAGAAAGCUAUCGCCUUAAGAGGGGUUUGCG